GUCUAAGGCCAUACCACCCUGAACACACCUGAUCUCAGAAGUUAAGCAGGGUUGGGCCUGUCUAGUACUUGGAUGGGAGACUGCCUGGGAAUAUCAGGUGCUGUGGCCU
Ribosomal RNA from Pan paniscus (pygmy chimpanzee), 109 nucleotides. Lineage: Eukaryota; Metazoa; Chordata; Mammalia; Primates; Hominidae. The record is from Ensembl.